Molecule: ribosomal RNA, 446 nt
Filed under: uncultured bacterium
Lineage: Bacteria
Description: partial 16S ribosomal RNA
Rfam family: Bacterial small subunit ribosomal RNA
Source: RNAcentral
CCUACGGGUGGCAGCAGUCGAGAAUCAUUCACAAUGGGGGAAACCCUGAUGGUGCGACGCCGCGUGGGGGAAUGCAGGUCUUCGGAUUGUAAACCCCUGUCAUGUGGGAGCAAAUUAAAAAGAUAGUACCACAAGAGGAAGAGACGGCUAACUCUGUGCCAGCAGCCGCGGUAAUACAGAGGUCUCAAGCGUUGUUCGGAAUCACUGGGCGUAAGGCGUGCGUAGGCUGUUUCGUAAGUCGUGUGUGAAAGGCGCGGGCUCAACCUGAGAACGGCACAUGAUACUGCGAGACUAGAGUAAUGGAGGGGGAAGCGGAAUUCGCGGUGUAGCAGUGAAAUGCGUAGAUAUCGAGAGGAACACUCGUGGCGAAGGCGGGUUCCUGGACAUUAACUGACGCUGAGGCACGAAGGCCAGGGGAGCGAAAGGGAUUAGAUACCCCUGUAGUC